AAAUUUAACCUUUGCAGUGAGUAUAAACCAGAGACAGUAAUGAAAAUACGAAGUAGCAAAACAAGGCACAUAAAUCAUCUCCUGUUUUGAAAAAGAAAUUCAACACAGUAUAAGAAUCAAGAAACAUCAAAAUCAAUACACUACCAUGCAAAGCAAUCAAGGAAUGAGUGAUUGGAACAUCCAAUGAUAAACAGGACAACAUUGUUAAAGUGGUCAAAGAAUCACCUACAUUAUUCGACAGCAAGAUUCCUAAAUUCCCUACACCUGAAAUUCUUCUAAACUGGGACAACCUGGAAACAGGAAUUGCCAAGCUAAAUGUUGAUGGAAGCUGGAAUCAAAGAGAAUGAAAGGCAUGAACAGGCAGUCUAUUCAGAGGAGAAUGGGAAAAUUGGACGAUUGGAUAUUUGUUUCUUAGGUGAUUUUCCACUCGACUUGGCAGAACUUUGGGCAAUCUAUCAUGCAACUAAAGUUGCAAAGAAUAUGGGAUUUGAAAAAGUGGACAUUUCAAUCUGACUUGUUAAGUUCAAUUUAGCCAAGUAAAAUAAUCAACGGGAUUUGCAAAGAAUAAAUGGGACAACAUUUGGUUGAAUAUCAAUCCAUUUGUCAAAUAAUCAACAUUAAAGAGGCUAACAUAUAUUCAAACUAGUCCAAGUAAAAUAAUUAACUAUUUAGCCACAGGAAUGGAAUAGUCAAACAAUAACAUAAAAGACAAUAAAAUAUUAAUGGGCCAAUAUAGAAUAGAGAGAUUUACCUAUUUUUAGUCAACCCUUAAACCAAAAAUGUCAUAAUAUUUCUAGGUUUUCAACCUGUCUAAUAUUUGCUGCCAGCAACAAUUAAGGCUACCAUGCUAAUGGACAAUUCUUAUAUAAAGAAACACCUAAAAUCACUUAUCAUGACAAUGUAUGCAAAAAAAAAAAAGAUUUUCAACAUACAAAAAAGAAAAGUGAAGUGGUUUCUGCGAACCUUUCCUGCAUUCCUGAUAGAAACAAGGCUUGUAGAUAUUUACACCUUGACUGCAGGAUGAAUUUGUGAGCAUGCAUGUGCGGCACCAAUAGAGAGCAAAAACUGCAUGCCCAGGGCAUUUUUUC
RNAcentral lists this long non-coding RNA (1088 nucleotides) under Gossypium barbadense (sea-island cotton). Its description in RNAcentral is "long non-coding RNA (GBAR_LNC022621)". The record is from RNAcentral. Lineage: Eukaryota; Viridiplantae; Streptophyta; Magnoliopsida; Malvales; Malvaceae.